Molecule: non-coding RNA, 203 nt
Organism: Arachis ipaensis
Lineage: Eukaryota; Viridiplantae; Streptophyta; Magnoliopsida; Fabales; Fabaceae
Source: RefSeq, a predicted model, not a curated record
AGAAGCUGAAAAGCAGGGUGUUACAGUAUCUCUUACGAGUUCUGUAAUUCAAGACUUAAUGAAAGAUGACUAUGUGUAUGAAGUUUCUAAUGAAGACCCUGCAAAAGAACAAGAACAACAAGCCCAAGAACUAACGGUGCAACAAGAAUCAGAACAAGAAGCACCUGUUAACGUACCUCUGGAACAGCCCUGUGAAGAACCAA